This 29-nucleotide non-coding RNA is filed under the name Rattus norvegicus (Norway rat). Lineage: Eukaryota; Metazoa; Chordata; Mammalia; Rodentia; Muridae. The record is from RNAcentral.
UCAUUUGCUGCCACGAUUUUAAUUCGCUC